Non-coding RNA from Malus domestica (apple), 767 nucleotides. NCBI's taxonomy places the organism in Eukaryota, Viridiplantae, Streptophyta, Magnoliopsida, Rosales, Rosaceae. The record is from RefSeq and is a predicted model, not a curated record.
UUCCACCACCCACCUCCUUGCCCACCUCCGACAUCACCGCCGUCGUGAGUCUGAGCCCUGACGACCACCAGAGCUGAUCUUCUUCUCGAUUAUUCUCCUCGACGACAUCUCACCCUAGACCUAGAGAACCCAGGAACCCGCACCACCCAUCUUCUCGAUUCUCUUUCUCUCCUUCCCGACGACAUCACCGCCCUUGCGAUCACUAACACUCCACCGCCGUUGCCAGUUCAGGAUAUCAAGCGACACAAGGAAUACCGGGAUCUCAAGGGACACAAGGAGUUGAUUCAUUGUCAGUUAGAACCAGGUACUUCUCUUUCAAUUGUUUCUUUUCUUUAUUUACACAGGAUUUAGUUAGUCACUGUAUUUAUAUAUGGCUCAUUAUAUUUAUUUUUCUUAUUAUUCUCCCCGUUUGGUAUGCAGGGCUGUGGACAAAAUUUUAGAAGGAAAAACUAGAAAGCUAUGUGCCCGAAUGUUCUAUGAAACACUGGUUUUGAAGACUUAUGGUCUUGUUGAUGUAAAACAAGAAGUACCUUAUGGUGACAUUAUUUUGACAUUGAACCCAACCCUAUCAAAAGCUCAAAUUUAAAAAUAGGAUAUAAGGUAAUUUAGAGCAUGCUUAUCGUUGCAAUAUUUUUCCUGGAAUCAUAUACACUUUGAUAUGUUUCAGUAUUCGGGCUUUCUGAUAUUUGGCCACUCUGUAAGAUUUGGCAUGAGUAGCAAGUUUUGUCUAAUCACGGUGUUUUAACCACAAAGGUAGCUACACUGUA